Molecule: long non-coding RNA, 2919 nt
Organism: Ictalurus punctatus (channel catfish)
Lineage: Eukaryota; Metazoa; Chordata; Actinopteri; Siluriformes; Ictaluridae
Source: Ensembl
CUUUAGUGCUAAACAUGUAGUCCCCAAAGCUGAUUUAUAGAAAGAUAAUAACAUCCAUUAUACCAACCGAAGUUACACCCAGUCUCAAAUAAGAGUAUUCUUAGCUGUGGCAUUCACACGAUCGAUCAGAGACGGUGUCAAAAAGCACAAUCGAGAGUGACUCCAAGUUACUACUGGCUGGCCCGUAACCUACUUGAUAAAUCUUGUCAUCUGCAAUCAAAGAAAAAACUAAGCAAAGAAAUCUUGCACAGCUAUUUUAUUCUACUGAAAUUAAGGUAAGAAAACCAAUUAUUAUAUUUUGUGGCCUGAACAUAACAGCAUAAUCAUGAGUUGACAGAGAAAAUAAUAUGUAUUAAGGAUUACAGUCAGGUGUCGGUGCAACUGGCCAAUGGGAAUCCUGCGAAAUAUAGUAGUUAAAAAAUUGUUAAAACCAUGUUAGUCUUACAAUACAGAAUUCUAGCUUUCACUAGAGUCUGAUAUUUUUCAUGAAUAAUUGAACCUCCUACUUCUGCCUAUAGAAUGAGGCCUUACAUUGCAGACCUUACACCAAGUACAAGACCUUUUCCCCCAAGCCCCAUUUGCAAGAGAUGAUCUCAUUUACUUACAACUCACUGUUUCAAACAAAACUCUGGAAUAAUGCAGUGGAAGUUGUUCAGUCCAGCCUGACACACACAACUGUGUACAGGCAGGUCCAUAAGUAUUUGGACCCUGACACAAGUUUCAUAAUGUUGCCUCUGUACACCAGCACAACGGAUUUGAAAUGAAAUCGAGAAUCCAUCCAUUUUCACAGGCUCAAAAGUAAUUGGACAAUUGACUGAUAAGCAGUUUUAUGUUUCCCUCCUGUUAUUUCGUGACAAAUUAAUGAGAUAAAAGGUCUUGAGUUGUUUCCAAGCAUUGGACUUGGUAUCUUCAUGAAAACAUGUUGAAACUUCAUGAGAACUUUCAACAUGCGGUCCAAAGAGGUGUUGAUGGAAGUGAAGGAGGCCAUCAUUAGGCUGAAAAAAAAAACAAAACAGACAGAGAGACAGGAGAAACUUAUUAUUAAGUCUGAGAUCACAAGCUCAUCAUCCAAAAUGCAGAUUAAUUGAAAAUGAUAUGAGAAAUGAAUUAAUUGAAAGAAUGAGAAACUUUUUUCGAAGGUCAUCUCCCAACAUAGGACAGCAAAUCCCUUUGGACAAGACUAAGACCAAUCUGGAUUUCAAAGCUAGGGUUUUCAUCUUAAAAACUGCGGACCCCUUGCUCGUCACGGUUUGUUGAUUUUACCUGCUCCCAAGGCACCCAAUCUUACUGACAGAGAAGACAAUUACUUGGAAAGAGGAGUAAAGGACGAUGACUACAUCAAGCUGGAGCAAGCAUCCCUGAAUAGAGAGGGAGGAUCAGACCACCACUUAUCUGUUUACAAGGAAGUCCUAACGUAUAUUUACUCUGGCUUGUUUAUCACACCUGCAGACAGUCAUGUGAUUUUAAGUUUAAUGACAACCUUAGUCACCUACCAAGGAUUAAACAUCAAUGCAUUUUCCCAGCAUUCAGUAUAAUGUAUUCAGAAUAACCGUUAUUUUUGGUUUUUAAUACAUUUUAUGUACACUCCAGACAGCUCUGAAUUUACCUAUUAAACUAUAGCCCAUGCCCGCACAUCUUUUCACCCUCUCACACACUUCUCUGAAUUAUACCCAUGUCUCCCCCCCGCCCUUUUUUUUCCUUUUCCUGACUAUUACAGACGUCUCUGUCCCAUCAAAGAACCCCAUUUCCCCAGAAAGUUGAAAAAGAUGAAAGGAUAAGAACAAGAAAAGGGGACAAAAGAGAGAGGGCUUGAGUUACAAGCCUGCCCCGGUGAGAGUGUCCAUGAAAGAGUUUGGGCAUGGGAGAGAUGGACGAGACAGAGAAUGACAGAAAGACUUUCAGAGAUAGGCGAGACAGAAUGAAAGGAAGAGUGCUUCUGAGUCAGACUGGUAUCGACACAGACACACAAACACAGAAACUUUCAUCAGCUUUCAUGGAUAUAGCCUGAAAAUACAUUCUCUUAACACACCCGGUGAAGAAAGAGGUCCUCCUCGUGAGCUUUCCCUUCCUCCCUGUGGUAUUCCUCCCUGUUGGCAUUUGGUUUGUCGUUCCCUCGUAAUCUCCGUCUCCCUCCCACCGUUCUGCAUCUCCGGCUGUGUCUCAACUUGCCUCAUGUGCACUUAGAUAUUUCAGCCCCAGGGUCUAUUGCUCAGAUAAAGGGAGAGUGCGAGAAGAGCGAGAGAAAUUUUUUUUCAUCAAGCUGUUGCGGGAUAUGCUCACGCAGGGCGACAAAAGUUAAUUUCACACACUCGUUUUCACAUACUCGUGCUCCAAUGCAAACACUCAGAAAUGAAUACAGACUCAUACCCUGACUCAUACACCGGCUCUCGCUCGGUCAUUUGCUCCAUUGCUCACAAACUGUUCCAUGUUUCUUUAACGUUCCAUUCACAAGAAACCCAAAGGCUUUGUCGUGUCUCUGAACCAGCAAUUCCCGUUUACUCAAGGAGCAUUUUUACACCCUAAACCUCAAGUGCAUACUCAGGGCACUCCUCUUGAACACACACACACACACACACACACACACACACACACACACACACACACACACACACACACACACACACACACACACACACACACACACACACACCUGAAAGUGACAAAAGAGCGGAUAUUUACAACCAGAGCUGGUUCUUCUGUUUCAGCUUCCAGAUGAAUAAUUGACUCCGUUUCAAGCACAUAAUGUAAUGCAUGUACACAAUAGAAAAUGAAACUCCCAAGUGUGCAAAAUUAGGCAGUGAGGAAAUAAAUCUGACCCACGUAAAGCUUUACUUCCUCCAGUGUUUUUUUUUUCUUCCCUGUAAUGAAGCUUUAUGAAUGUAACCAAGUCAGGUUUAUUUCCCCAGACAUGGAAAUCCC